CUGUUGCCAUCAGGUAAUGCUGGGCACUCUGCAAAGACUGCCGGUGAUAAACCGGAGGAAGGUGGGGAUGACGUCAAGUCAGCAUGGCCUUUAUGUCUGGGGCUACACACGUGCUACAAUGGCCGGUACAAACCGUCGCAAAACCGCAAGGUGGAGCUAAUCGGAGAAAGCCG
RNAcentral lists this ribosomal RNA (173 nucleotides) under uncultured Acidobacteriota bacterium. RNAcentral describes it as "uncultured Acidobacteria bacterium partial 16S ribosomal RNA". It matches the Rfam family "Bacterial small subunit ribosomal RNA", at positions 1112 to 1284 of the family's 1533-position model. Lineage: Bacteria; Pseudomonadati; Acidobacteriota. The record is from RNAcentral.